GAAAUCUAAAGGAGAUUCCACUGGAACAACUCCAGCCCAGUAUCUUAUCUCCUCAGGACUUAAAACUUUCAGCUCUUCCAAGAGUAGAGUGCGAAAUCCUGCCACAUGGGACUGGAUUUGUUAAUGCCAGCUUUUUCCUUAGAAAUAUGAAUAUAAAAGUAUUUUUAAAUCAGUGGAAAUACGGUUGGAAUUAGUAUGAAACUAACCUUUAAAAAAAAAAACUUUGUGAUGAUACAAAAAAAUCGUUUCCUCUUCUGGCUCUAAAGCGUGUCAAUCUAUACCAGGAAGUUUGUUCCGUUUCUAGUUCUUUCUCCCUCAGCUCGACUUUGAGUAGGACAAGCUGCAUUGAAAAGAUGAAGCUAUCCUCGCUGGAUUAGUACUCUUAAUUAUAUUCAAAAACUAAUCUGGAAGGGAGGGAGCAUCUACAAAAUAAUCUUAAUCACUGGCAUUUUUAACCAAAAAUAAUUACACCUAAACCUAAAAAGGCUAUAGCUAUUAAUAAAGGCUCACCGUACAGUGAACAUUUGGCAGAUACUGAGAAGCUACAUAAUUUACUGGACCUUUCAAAAUAAAGAUCAGCAAAGGGAUUUUUUAAUGUCAAUUUUAGCACACUAGAGGUGGUGGGAAACUUCUGUACCUUUUUAAUGAUCUGAACACAGUGUGAAACAAAACUUUAGGAACUGAAAGAAUCACUUCCCCUUUUUAAAAGCCUCUGUUUUCCAAAUUUGCACAAUUACAAGCUGAGGAUCCCCAGGCUACCACUUCUGUUGACUUAGGCUGAAAGGCUGAAAACGCUUUCAUAUUGUUGGCAUGGGAAAGACCAUACAAGCUACUGUUCAAAUGUUUUACAGACACGAACUACAACCAUUUUGAGGUCUGAAGAUAGGAUAAAUAAACUGCAAGUUAGUACUAAGAAGUAAGAUUCCUCCAAACCAUUACUUCAAUCCAAGGGAACUAACUCUCUCACCAUGAAGAGGGGCCAGCAGCCAGCCAGGCCACAGUGAAGAUGUUCAGAAUAUGUAACAGAAGAGAGGAGGUUUGUUGUCUGUCUGUCUGUCUGUGUUUUAUGGACAGUGAUUGGAAGGAGAAAAAUCCGUGCCUUGGGAAAAGGUAUCUGCAUUUUCUAUAGUAGUGGAAGGGGAAACCAGAAACCAUCAAUUAUUGUGUCGGCUAUUUCAAAGCACCAUCUGUAACAUAAACUAUAGUUCAACUCUUGAAAAGCAGAGCCUCUGUCAAAGCCCUGGAAGCUGUGUCCCAGAGUCUGCCUUUGGUUUUGAGCAUACAAACAUUUUUCUAACAUUUCAAUCACAUAUUUUAAAAUUACAAUUUUUUUUCAGAUAGACAAUUUUAAGCAUGCUUUAAAAAAUUAAGACCUCUUUUAAAACUGAAAGUUAAACCACAUUUAUCAUGGAUACACUAUCUCAAAGUGGGCUGUCUAGGUGAGCAUUUCUUCUCUUUCUCUCUCUCUCUCUCUCUCUCUCUCUCUCCCUCUCUCUCUCUCUUUCUCUCUCUGCUUUUUUACACUGCAGUUUUAGGCUUGUAAAUUCAUUUCCCCUGUUAUAACAAUUAACCUAGCCGUUAAUCAGUGGACUUUCAUUGUAUUUUCUUAAUACAUGAAUCAAGUUGUUUGUCCUCAUUUUCCAGUCUUGUUGAAAUUUCAACUAAUUUCCCAUAACACACACACACACACACACACACACUAUGGAUUGCAUUUUAAGAUUCUCUCUGGUCUGUUCCCAUCAAACAAGUACCUCUGGUAAUAAACAGAGUUCAUUUAAACAUGAGAAAUGAGGAAGAAUACAUUUCCACUAAUUGUUUGUAGGUUUUUUACAAGGUAAAUAGGAAAACAACAAACAAAGAAAACAAAAACCCAAACUCUCAUUUACAGGAAAAAAGAAGGGUGGGCCAGGCAGAGUCCUGAUCGGAACAGAAAGCAACAUUGGCUUCAGCCUCCCUGGGGACCCGAAGGGUGCCACCUGUUGUUCAUACAUCCAAUCACUACCUUUGGAAAAAUGAUAUUAAGUUUAUGUAGUUUGUGAUGGACUAUGAAUGCUGCUUCACUUUCAGCUGAUUAACUAGUUUCUGUGAACUAUGUUUAAAUGAUCUUUAAAGAGAUUUCAAGUAUUCCUCUGGCUGCUUCUGCAUCACCACAGCAUCUCUGAGCCACCAACCCAAUCACUUGAGUUUGAUAUAUACUGCAAAGACUAUUAGGUUCUCCUCUGGCUGCUUAUUUGAAGUGAGGUGUGUGUGACAUUUGUCUCAUCCUUCUAUGAGGUUAAGUGAUUACUGAUAGAUCAUCACCAAUGCGGCUGUAAAUAAUCCACAUCCUUCCUUUUCAUUAAAAAACAAACUUGAGAUUCUCUUUCCCUCACUAAUCUGCAUUAACCGUGCCUCUGACUGGGAAAGCUAGGCCAACAAAGGUGAGGGGCCUUGCCAAGCAAACAUUUUUAGCCAUGAGAAGAAACCUCCCUCUUCAUGCUUGUAUGAAAGGUUUCAGCAGAUUAAGAUAGGAUCACAGAACAGUUGUACUUCUGAGUUUAAGAACAGUAAAGAACACAGUAGCAGUGUUCUUUCUCUAACCUGACCAGCCUCACGUUUCUAUGCUCAACUGGUUCCCAAAUAAGUCUAAUACAAUUCCGUUAUGAAGAAGUUAAGGAAUGCCUGCACUGCACAGGAGACAAGAUAGGAAGGUGACACUGGAACAGGUAGAUGCAGGCACACUCAAUUUCUUGUUUCCAUUUGGAAUUACUUACUCUUGUCCAAAGGCCAAUUAUCAGCAAAUGACAUUAAGUAGACACCAGAAUAGCAAACAUUCAACUCCACAGAAAUGCACUUAAAACAGGCCUUAGUAGGUUCUAAAUGGAUUAGUAGGUUCUAAAGAGACAAUAGGAUACCUCAAGAGCAUGUGUGUGCCCACGGCCUGCUAACACAGCAAAGAAUACCAGCAGACCUUCACAGCUGCUUGUGGCAGUAGUCAUCUGGUCUAGAUGCCUGGCAUUAUGGAAGACACUGAUAACUAGUGUGACCUGCACCAGCGAUGCUGAGCAACUCCAGGGCAGAGCCAAGACUCCUCCACUGUUGGACUGUAGCCCACUACUGGUUUCUCCGUUAAUUAGUGCUCAAAAGACAAGCAAACAGAGGCCUCAGAAGUAGCCUCAGCACAGUAUGUGGUAAUUUGGACAUAAAAUUCGUUAACAAGAAGGGUGGCUACGGUCUCAUUAAUACAUAAUAAGAGGACAAAGGGAAAGGAGUGAGAUGAGGUUGAUACAACUCAACCAGGCCAUCUGGAUGGCAAGGCCCACCCUUUAUUUGAAGGCGAGAGGUGCUGUGGACAGAGUAUGUGCUGACAUCAUACUGAGCUAACUGGACAAGUAACUUGCUAGUAUCAAACAACAGUCUGUAAUCCACCAACCUCCUUAGCUGUCAACAAGCCCUCUUUCAGAAACCAGAGACUUAAUACCUUUAAAACACUCUCCCCAUAAAAUGUAGCAAAGUCACCUUGGAAGGCCAUUUAUGACUGGUGAUACCUGGCUUUCUUUACCCUGACACCACACACUGAGACAUAUCAUACAUUAACUGGUUUAUUGUCUAUAUCUGGGAUUAUAAAGUACUUCAGUAUCAGUUUUACAACCAGCUUUCUCCCUAGCAUCUAGGGAAGCAGCUAGCUAUUGUUACUAGGUGUGUCACUAGGACAAGAAGGAUAUUGUAUACAAGUAUGAAUAAAUGAUCCUCCAACCCAGAAGCUCUUGACUUUGGAAGAAGGUAUACUCUGCCAAUGAUGGCUGAGGAGGGGCCCUUCUACAUUUUGAUCACAAGUCCCAAACACAUCUCUGCCACUAUCUGAAUUAAGUACAGAAUUGACUUAGGAAUAAAAAGGCCGGAAAACAAACCAGAGUCAAUGGAGUCAGGGCAUGAAACUGCUUUAAACUUCCAGAUAUAUUGUAUACACAGACUACAGUCAACAGCUUCCUAGCUCUUGGCCCAUCUCUCUAUUGCCUUUAACUCCUUCCCCCAAAUAAUGAGAUUGAAAGUGGUGAAAGAGCACCAGGUGAAUUGCCGUAGGGCAUGAAAGAACACAGCAUAGUAUAGUGGUUUCUCCCUAAUGAAGAAGGAUUCCUCUGAAUCUCUGAUCUCUGUGCCUUGGCUGUGGGCUUGGAAGGUACAAGCAUGUGGUCAAAUAACUAACACUCCAUGUAACUGGGAAGGAGCAGACUGUUUUCCUGUGGACUUUGAUUCCAGACUUUCUGUGUGUACUUCCUAUAUCUAAAUUUCCAUGAGAGGUAUUUUUUCCUAAUUCCACAGUUAGGCAACUUCACUGCCUACUAUGAAUCCAGUGUAGGUCUUUCUUAUAUCUUGUUUCAGAAACGGCAAGCAAACCUUGCUAAGAAUAAGAUGGGCUGGUGGGACAGAAAGCAAGGUCACCACACACCACACCUUGUCACUAACCUCUUGGCACUAGCCUUAACCUCUUAGCCUAACUUUUGAACUGAUGAUGAAGAACAGGCUCAACAGUGCCUGUGGCUCCAGUUGUCCUUGGUCCCAUCUCUGCCUCUCAAUGAGUUAAGUGAAAAACUGUAGAUUACAGAGAUUAGCUCUUUAUAAAAAUUAAACAACACAGGAAUUAAAGACACACACACACACAUACACACACACACACACACACACACACACCCAGAGCCCCCCAAAACCAGAGCCUGAUGUGACUGGGUGCAUGCUUUUGAUCCCAGUACUGGAGAGGUAGAGGAAGGAAAGUCAAGAAUUCACAGCCAUCCUUGGUUAAAGAACCGGUUCAGCCAACCUAGACAGACUCUUAGCUCAGCUGCCUCCUUCCCACCCCCAAAUUAAAUAACAGAAUAUAGUUAAUUGCUGAGCUUGCUUGUUAGUGAUGCUACUGGUUACAGACAGAUAGUAUUGUCUCAUUGGAGAAACUAAAGAGUUUUAGGAAUAAUAGGCUCUGCCAUUCAUUCACUGGGCCAGCCUCUUGUACCCUUGUUUCCCCAAACCUCAUAAAGGAAAUAAUGUCAUUCCCCAAGUAUCCCCAAGUAUCUCAGUAUUUGGGCAAAGACUGAAUCGUGGGCAAUAGUCCUUUUAGGAAUUCUGAUCAAGUAGAGAAUUUAUUUAAAAAUUGAUCUGUCAAUACAAACAGAUUAAUGCAGUUCGGCCUAACAUACGGACAUUAGCCCUGCAAGAGCUCCAAAUCACCAAUGGAGCAGCCUCAGGGAGAAGGGACGUCUUUUGAGAUAGGCUGCUCCUACAAAAGCGGAACAGCCUGAUUUAUGCGGUCUCAUAGCCCACUAGUCUGGGAACAAAAGUUUAAAGGUGAUUUUUUUUCCCUCUCUGACAUUUUUAAAAAUGCAAAUCAAAACAAAAACAGUCUCUUGAGCAGAUCAUAAGAGGAAUGUACAAUAUUCAUUGCAUUUGGACUGACUGUCUGCAACUGUUAAACUUGAAGAAAGGAACAGCUAGGCUAAGGAGCACAUGGGAAAUGUCCUGUUUUUUUUUUUUGUUUGUUUUGUUUUGUUUUUUUGUUUUUUUUCUGAACCCAAAGGAAUGCAGAGAUGCUGUCUAAGUCGCUUAGCCUAGCCUUAGCUUGUGAGUCUGCUAAUUGGGAACAACAAAAGAGGUGAAUCACUCUGGAAUUUGUGGGAAAUGAAUCCACUUUGGCUACAGGGAAAAUUACCAUUUAAAAAUAGCAUCUCUUCAUUCAGUGUUAACAUAAACAUUCUAUCCAUCAUGUAUGAAAUGGUAUAGGUAGGAGGCAUUAUAUAAAAAUAAAAAACAUUUAUAAGAUAUAAAACUUGUAUAUAUAAACAUACACGCAUGUUUAUACAACAGUAUGGGGAACUAUCAAAUAAAGGCCACAACUUUGUCAAGGGAUUUGUGGUUCCAGUCACCUCUUUCCACAUUAUACUCUGCAGGAGUCUCCUUACAGUCUCACUGAGCACGUUAGGUAGAGCAUAGAUACAAGGAAUCUAAGACAAAGGUCAGGCUUCCUGGCCAAGUCCUACCUGACCUCAUCUGCCUUUGCCUCCCAGGGUUCCUCUCCUCACAGCAAAGAAGUGACACGCAUGAGAGCACUGUUUCCUGUGUUCUCCGAGUUUUAGCCCACUCAUUCAAGGAGGGUUAUUAUAGUCCAAGAAAAUGUUUUUUCUUGGGUAUAUAGAGUCCAAACCUAGUGAAGGGUAUAGAAGUAUAUCAAUCCUUUAAGAGCAAACAAUAUAAAACAAAUUAAAAAGCAGUACAAGACAAUAUUGAAUAGAUGUCAUAGAACUAAGGGCUGUGAAGACUGUAGAAUGGAGGUAGGCCAGAGCUAGACAACUCAAAGCACUGCUCACAAAAAGGGAAAUGUCACUGGGCUUCUGAACACUGUAGAGAGGUUGGGUUUAUUUCAUAAAAGUCUACUAGGCAAAGAGCCUAAAGUAAAAUUUAAAACAAAAGUUUAAAAUAGGGUCAAGACACACACAGUGAUUAUUGAACCCACUACUUAGCCCUCACAGCAACCUGGACUUCCAUGGAAAGGAAGACAACUUAAAGAUUUCAGUGUCUAAGGUGAAGGGAUCAUGUGUGCUGCGGAAGCAGUUGGCAUAGUUCCAUCCCUAGAGCAGAUGUUCAGUAAAUGCUGCCUAUGACUAAGUUGUGCCUGUCUUUCUACAAGGCUUCUUACUUGACUAGGCUUACUAUUAUCUUCUACCGGACUGAGAUAGAGGGGUUGCCUCAGGACCCAGGAAAUGCUUUGUAGGAUGCAGCCAAGAGGAGGGUCAGGUUCUCUGACACCCAGCAAUCAACCAGAGAAAAUCUGUUUCUGACCUAAUCUCAGCCACUGAGAGAGAAGUUAUCCUUGGUCCCAAUUCCCCUGCUGGAAGGCAAUGAAAACCCAUGAAAAAUCCACUGCUCUCCUAAAGGUGUCAAAGGUGCCUCAUCGCUUGAAGUAAGACCCAAGUUACUGAGCUAUUAAUGUAUAGAAGAGAGCAAGUAACACAAAAGGCUUAAAAACUAUCCUGGAACCUGUUUAAUCUUGAAAUUUCACCGAGCCUCAGCGUCAGAGGCACACAAAUGAAGUUUCAAGUAUUUUCAAUUUAGCAUGACAUUUUAAGUGUUAGAACACUAAGGUUUACUUCUUUGCUUUUAACUACAGCUGUAACUUUUACCACAACAAAUGCUUCCUAUAGAAAGGAGCAAAAAUCUGAAUGUCAUGAAAUUCCAAAUAAGGUUCUCAAUAUAGUUACAACCCACUAAGGCUUGCUAAGCCAUGUGAUCUCUUGAUAUAUUAACUUGUAAACAACAUUAAACAGGAAAGGAAGAAAAACUCAAAAGGUUGCUGGAGGCUUUUGUUUUAUGGAAAGGAGGUCUGAGGAUUGUUCAAGGCUUUCCAGAUCUUAGUCACAAAACUACUGCCUUCUUCCUGCAUCUGUGAGGUGGGCGGCAGGUGAAAGAAGGGCCAACAGUUUGUUUUGAGAGCAUUCUGGUCCACAUUCCCUGCCUAUUGAAAUGGGACUUGUUAAAAUUGGUUUUCAACUGUUUACAAAGUUUAGUUUUGCUUCCCCCACACCUAGUAGCUUUUUAACUAAUGAAAACAUGAAUAGUUUGCCUGCUCUUAAAAUUCACAAUAAAUGUAAACUAUAGUUUUAUGGAUGGGUAUUCAUAUAGCAAAUGUAAAAUACACUUGGAGGUUUCUCUUUAAUUAUGCCAUACAUAGACCAUGCCUUACAGAGAGAAACAUAACUACAGUGACUAACAUUUUACUAGCACACAGAGUCCCAAGACACGUCAGGUAUCGCCGAGUUGUGGUCAUGUGUGUUGGAAAACUGUUGCUGAAUACUGACAUCUUGAUGGAAGUGCCUAGAGUAUAGCAAGAUUCAUGUCAUGAGCCUGAGCUUAGACAUCAGAUGUAACGCAAUGCUUAUACCCAUGGGUUUUCUGAAGGCUCAGAGAUGUUAGAAAAUAAAAAUGUAACCCAAACUGCUCUGAAGUAUUGGUCCAGGGGAAAUUAAGGCUCUGAUAACCAACAUAAUUUUAAUUAGUACAAUGAGUGUAAAGGGUGUGAAAAACAAAUCCAUAAGACAAUAGUUACCUGUGUUCCAAUAUAUUUUAGAAAAGAAAAAGCAGAAACAAAAACGUUUCCUGCCUGCCUGUAAUUUGGUUUUACAUAUGGCCUCAAACUACAGCUUUCCAAAGUCAUAAAGCAAUGCUUAGGUUAUCAAGAACUAAGAAAAGUUGGUGAUAGCAGACAGAGAAUGGCCACUGUAGUCCUUUUAACAAGAAAACAGGCUACAGAGUAACAACCCAUUCUUCAACUACUCUACCCUCUAAAUACUAUUAAAUGUUCCCAUUUCCCUAAUUUAUUACAGUUAAAAUGAAGAAUGAAACCAAACCAAAACCCCAAGUCCUGUCUAAGAAUUGAAAUGUUUCUCAUUUUACACUCUGGGUAUUUUUAUCUACCCAGUUUCCAUGGCAAACUGUAUGAUUUCAGUAGUCACAGUAAACCAUAAGCCUCUGUUGUUGUGGUUUUAAAAUUUCUGAAGUUUGAAUUUCCCUCAAACAAGUUUGGAAAUGUUUGGUUUCCCAAGCAUACCAUGCUAGCCGCUGCCUCUGUGUGGAAAGCCAGGCUCCUCACGAGGAGGUGAAAACCAGUGAACUCAUCCACUCUGGCUCAUGACCGGUCCUUGCUUGGAUGUCUUAAUGCCAAGAAAUUGAUUAAGUAAGUCAAAGAAAGAGAAAAUUGAGGAAGAGGGUAACAGGAAGAAAGGGAGAGAAAGAGGGAGGGAGGGAGGGAAGGAAGGGAGGGAGGGAGGGAGAGAGGGAGGGAGGGAGGGAAGGAGGGAGGGAGGGAGGGAGGAAGGAAAAAAGGCUAAAAAUUUGGGGUGAUGGUUUUGGAAAUAUGCUCAAAAACACCCAAAGAAAGAUAUACUCCUUACAACUAUUUUUAAGGAGACUAAAAGAAACAAAACCAACCCAUAAAUCUUUCAAAUAUAUACUUCCAAUAUCUGAAUGAAAAUAACAAGGUCUAGAAAAGUUUUAAAGGGGGGGGGGAGUAAUCAAUGAGAUUUUGAAAAAUUUAACACCUGUUAGAAUACUUUUCUAGAAAAUCCAUUUCUACUUCCUUAAUCUACUAAGAUAUAAAAUAACAGUUAAAUAUAAUUUUUAAGUAAGAGAAAUACAUAUAAAUAUUAUGAACAAGCUAAAAUGAUUCAAACAUUUCCAAGAGCAUACAGUUAUUAUGCCCUUCAAGACGCUGAGAAAAUGCUGUUAAAAAUAUUUUCCGAGAACUUAAAAGUUCCUUAAAAUGUUCUAUGGAAAUGGUAUUUAUGACACAGUUACCUCCUCUAGGGACUGUGAGAUGUUAUUACUGGCAAAGUCACAAUUUUUAAAACCAUCCAAAAAUAAUUACAAAUUUAUGCUGAGUGACUAAACUUGCUAUAUUAUUACAAUGAAGAAGAGGAUAUUUGUUAAUGUCCAUAACCAAGGUUCAAAGUGCCAUGGGCCCAUAGAGAACAAACCAAUGGCGAGUAGUAGUAGUGACUCUUCCUGCCUUUGACAGGUAGGAUGUUCUAACACACAGGUUCAGACAGGAUGGUGCACAAGAUACAUGAGAUCAUGGGUGUAAACAUAGCUUAGCGAUGAGAGCAGAGGUCAGAGCAUCAAUUCUAUUGACAUUCCGGUUCUGCUAAUUCUGAGCUGGACUUCUGACAAUUACUAAAGGUUUCUGAGCCUGUCUGAGUGCUCAUUUAUAAAGUAAGGACAAUGAUUCUACAUGCUAUAAAACAAUUGCUCAACCGUUUCUAUUAUUUCCACACUCUAGAGGAAAGGGACUACUGUGUGUCUGCUAUUUAUAUUUAUCCUCUAACUCCCUAAUAUUGUAUCUGAUACAAAAGCAGAACAGGUAUUUGUCCGUUCAAAUAUCUACUGCAUAUCAAGUAAAUACUAUUCAUUGCUUUCAAGGUGGAAAUGAAGCACUGAAUAUAACAGAUACCAGUGACUGGCCAGUUUACUAAAUAAGAUGCACAUGCAUGAACACACAUACACACACACACACACACACACACACACACAACCUCUACCUAUAAAGUUUAUAUCCUUUUUUCUAGCUUUAUUUUAAGUGUAGGAGUGUUUUGCCUACAUCUACGUCUGUGCACUACAUGCAUACCUUGUGCCUACUGACAUCAGAAGAGGGUGUCCAAUCCCCUGGAGUUAUAGAUAACUCCAGGUAAGCCAUCAUGUAGGUACUGGGAAUUGAACCUGAGUCCUCUGGAAGAGAAGCCAAAGCACAUAACCACUAAGCCAUUUCUGCAGACCCUGAAGUUUAUAUUCUAUGGAAUAGUCACAUAAAUAAGCAAUAGAUGGUCUGGUAAAUGGGACUAGAUAAGGUAAGAGUCCUGUACCUCCCAAGGGGAAACUCAAAACAAAGGCACACAGAAAACUCAAAACCUGGUAUGACUGGGGCAUACUGAGUAAAGGGGAGACCAGUAGGUCAGAUGGGAGAAACAGCAAACUCUUCUAUGGCCUAUGUGUGUUCUCUCUCAUGUGACAUGGUUAAGUCGGGGUGGGCAUGUGACUGUGUGAAGCACAGGUUUAGCUGCCAAUAUAUUCUAAUUCUGGUUUGGUUAUCUGUGCUGUUCAGUAAGUUAACUGUUCUAAAUUAUAUAUGUUUAGUUCCUCCCUAUCCUGUAAGAUAAGUGCUUGCUUAUACAGCUAAAAGAAUUAAGUAAAAUCAGGUGAGACACUAAAGACCUUCAGUCUGUCUGUAUUCUCUUGUGUGGGUGCCACAUAGCACACUGGGACCUAGAGUCCAGUUCCAAGACUAAAAAGCUGUGAGCUCAAUGGCAGGAAUAUACAACAAGCUGCUGUUUUACGUUAAUAUUUUCACUAUUAGAAUUUAUCUCCCUACUAAAAACUUUCCCAUAACUUUACCCAUUAUUUUGUCUUUUAAAGUCUGGCAAAUUUAAAUGAAACUUGUGAAGACUUAUUUCAUAGCCAGAUUAAUUUACUUUUUCUGCCCCUGCUUGAGGACAGUGAUCUAUUGGACUAAUCUCCAAGAAGGGCUGUAUGACAGAAAGGAUGGAUUAAGUAGUAUUCAUGUAAGAGGAGAGACCGGGGACCUUUCAUUUGUUUGUCUGUUUCUAGACACUCUAGUCUGGAAAGUACAGGAAGAAAUUAGCAUCAGUAGUUACAGUUUGGAAGAUAAAUAAUAAAGUGGGAUGCCAACUUUUAAUGUUCAAAUGUUAAGAUAUUUAUUUGUAAAUACUAAUCUGUAAACAAAAACUGAAAUCCAUAUUGCUCAAGGAGUUAAAAGCAUAUAAAAUCAACAACAACUUCACUAAUGGAACAAUAUGAGUCACUAAUGGUGAUGCCAGACACUUAGAGGCUGAGACAGGGAGAUUGCAAGUUCAAGGACAACUUGAACUAUUCUAGGGAGAUCCUGUCAAAAAUCUCCCAAUAUAAAAGCCUUAAGUUACCAGUUCCUAUCUUUCAACCUCUUAUGUUCUCAGGAGGGAGGCAGCUUUGCAUAGCUGCAUCCUCUAAACCUUGUUUGUUUUUUUUUCCAUUUUUUUUUUUUGAACAGAUCACAAAACAUAAAUAAUCUUAGUGGUCUUAACAAUUUAUUUUUAACUCAAGAAGCAAAGACUACCAAAUAUUUACAGGAAAACAAAAACAAAAGUCUGUGCCCUUCAGGUCUGUCCUAAGUCAGCUGGCCCACCCUGCCACCUUUGCAUGCCCGAACAGAUCAAGCCUGAGUUGUGAGCCCCGCAGAGAAGGUGCACUUUCACAUUUACAGGAGGAAGAAUAAGUCUGACUCGAGUGUCAGACAGGCUUUGGGGAGGUCAGCUAGUGACAUCCAUUUGGUACGCUGCACUGCACUGGAAAUUGUACAUUCACUUUCUUCUGGGAAGGGAGAAGAGCUGAAGAGUAGAUCUGUGAACAAAAAAAGAAAUGAAAACUAAUGGCUGAUCUCAUAUACAAUUGAGCAGCAGAUUAAAAAAAAAAAAAGGUAU
This is a long non-coding RNA of Mus musculus (house mouse), 11990 nucleotides long. RefSeq annotates it as predicted gene, 53930. Lineage: Eukaryota; Metazoa; Chordata; Mammalia; Rodentia; Muridae. The transcript has 2 exons. The record is from RefSeq and is a predicted model, not a curated record.